AAAAAGUUGUGCAGCAAAUACCGAAACCCCCACCCUCUGAAGACCAUCUUCCUCAACACACCCCUUCCCCGUCGGUUCUGCUCCGUUCUUCAACAAAACGACCCUUUUCCUUUUGAUCCCUGAAUUUUCGCCUUCAAACCACCCAACGACCAGAUUAAAAACCAAAAGCCCUUAAGAUCUUCUUCAUCAACAACCAAACAAAAAUCCCUCACCCCAAACACGCUAUUCACCCCUGAAACCAGCAGCACAAAAAUGCACAUACACACUCACAAACAAAGAGGAAGGAAGCCGUUAUUCUUAAAAUUUUCUUUGGUUUUAGCUUCUGUCUCGCCGGCGAUAGAUCCGACAUUCCCGUCAGCUUGUGUUUUCCGGCGAUUUUCAGUCCAAAACAACACCUGAACACAAAAAUUCCGGUCAGAGCUUGAGUCUUAUUGAGGUUUCCAUUCGAGAUUCGGUGGCGGUUUGGCUUUUGCUCCGGUUUUUCUUUUCAAUUUUUAGUUGCGCAUCAGGUAUGAAUCUAGAUUCGAAAUGUUGUAAUUGUUGAUCCGUUCCUCGGUGUCAUAAUGAUGUUGCCACCAUUUUCCGAUGCUUCCUUGGAUUGUUGAAACAUAUAUUCAUGAUUUGCUCAUUGAUGACGUCAAUUUGUGCUAAUUGUUUACUGCCUCUGUUUUGUUAAAGUGAGCUGCUUCAUGUUCAGCCAUAUGUGAAUGCGGUUUUCCUUAACUAUGGAGUUUACUAUUGUUGUUCAUUUUCUACGCACUGCUUCUGUUCCGAUUUUGGCACCAUCCUUAUUGGCAAAAUUAUGUACUAAUCUUGUUCUUGACCAUUGAAGUGCUUAGCUUAUUUGUUGUACUUUUGUUCGUUUUAGAUCUCCAUCGUAUAUAGAUACGUUGGUAAUGUUCCUCUGAGUUGGGAAGUUAAAUGGUAUAAUAUUAAAGAAGUUCAUCACUUGUAGAAUACUUUUCAUCAGAUCACUUUCACAUUUGUGUAUGAAUGUAGAUCAGGUAUAUGUUUAUGUAAUUCUGUAUCCAAACGAGCCUUCCAAUGAAUAUGUAACUUAAAAAAUAAUUUUGAACAUGUUAGAAUUCAUGGGCGCAUUUAAUUCAUUAUCGUAAUUGUGUACACGCUCGCAUGACACGAGUGCAUUUUUUUUAAAAAAAUAAUAAAUAUUCGUAGAAAAGACUUUAGGUGCAUUAAUUGAAUGAUUGUCAUGGCUACGGGUACAGUUCCCGUGAGUAGUUGUGAUGCUUAAUUUCUAAAUUUGGGAGUGCAUUUCAUAUGACCCGGUUUAAUUUUCCAACAAUGUUAAAUAAAAUGUGUCUCGGACUGCGGGUGUAUUUCAUGUGCGUGGUCCAAAGACGUAUUUCAGAUGACGUUAAAAUAUUCCUUAAAUUAAUUAAAAGCGGUUUUAAAAUUAAAAUGCACAUAGGUUUAAAAGUGUAUUAGAAUCAGAUAACAGGCCAAUUAUAACAGUUGAGCGACCGUGCUAGAACCACGGAAUUCGGAAAUGCCUAACACCUUCUCCCGGGUUAACAAAAUUCCUUACUCGGAUUUCUGGUUUGCGGACUGUUAAACAAAGUCAAGCUUUUCCUCGAUUCGGGAUUCAAUCGGUGACUUGGGACACCAUAAAUCUCCCAAGUGGCGACUCUGAAUCUUUUAAUAAAUAAAUCUCAUUUCGAUUGUCCUUUAAUUGGAAAAACUCCCUUAUAUACCCCUUUCGGGGGGUGUAGGUAAAAAGGAGGUGUGAAAUCCAUUGCCGAGGAUUGAUAACUUAUUUGAUCAGUUUCAAGGUGCUAAGGUGUUUUCAAAGAUUGAUUUGAGGUCUGGCUACCAUCAAUUGAGGAAUAGGGCAUCUGAUGUCCCUAAGAUAGCUUUUCGGACUCGUAUGGGCAUUAUGAGUUUCUAGUGAUGUCAUUUGUGUUGACAAAUGCCCCAACAACAUUUAUGGAUUUGAGGAACCGAGUGUUCAGGCCCUAUUUGGAUUUCUUCGUAAUUGUUUUUAUUGAUGAUAUCUUUAUCUACUCCUGCAAUCGUGAGGAGCACGAGCAGCAUAUUUGGAUCGUUCUUCAAACUUUGAGAGACAGCAAAUUAUAUGCUAAGUUUUUGAAAUAUGAGUUUUGGUUAAGUUCGGUUGCAUUCUUGGGUCACGUUGUAUCAGCAGAGGGUAUUCAAGUGGAUCUUAAGAAGAUUGAGGCAGUCAAGGACUAGCCUAGACCCACAUCACCUACAGAGAUCCGGAGUUUCUUGGGCUUGGCAGGUUAUUACCGUCGAUUUGUGGAGGGGUUUUAAUCCAUAGCAGCCCCGAUAACCAGAUUGACCCAAAAGGGUGACCAUUUUAUGUGGUCAGAAAAGUGUGAGGCGAGCUUUCAGAAGCUCAAGACAACUUUGACUACGGCACCGGUGUUGGUAUUGCCCACAGGUUCAGGGCCAUAUACAGUAUAUUGUGAUGCAUCUCAUCUUGGAUUUGGUGCGCUGUGGAUGCAGAAUGGCAAGGUUAUUGCAUAUGCUUCGCAGCAGUUGAAGAUUCACGAGAAGAAUUAUCUAGUUCAUGACUUAGAGCUGGUAGCCAUUGUUUACGCGCUGAAGAUUUGGAGGCAUUAUCUAUAUGGAGUGUCGUGUGAGGUGUUCACGGAUCAUAAAAGUCUACAGUACUUGUUCAAGCAAAAGGAGCUCAAUUUGAGGCAAAGAAUGUGGUUGAAGCUAUGAAAGAAUAUGAAAUCACCAUCUUGUAUCAUCCCGGGAAGGCCAAUGUGGUGGCCAAUGCUUUGAGCAGGAAGUCAGCUAGUAUGGGCAACCUUGUGUAUAUUCCAGUCGGUGAGAGACCGCUUGCAUUAGAUGUUCAGGCUUUGGCCAACCAGUUUGUGAGGUUGGAUGUUUUUGAGCCCAGCCGUGUUCUAGCUUGUACAGUCGCUCGGUCUUCCUUGUUUGAGCAUAUCAGAGAGUAGAAAUAUGAUGAUCCCUAUUUGCUCGUCCUUAGGGACACAGUGUGGCACGAAGAUGCCAAGCAGGUUACAGUUGGAGAUGAUGGAGUUUUGAGGAUGCAUGGUCGAGUUUGUGUGCCUAAUGUGGAUGCACUUCGUGAGUUGAUUCUAGAAAAGGCCCAUAGUUCCCGGUAUUCUAUUCACUCGGACGCCGCUAAAAUGUAUCAGGACUUGCGGCAACAUUAUUGGUGAAGGAAGAUGAAGAAGGAUAUUGUUGCGUAUGUAGCUCGGUGUUUGAAUUGUCAGCAGGUAAAGUACGAGCAUCAGAUACCUGGUGAUUUGCUUCAGAAGAUUGAGAUUCCUGAAUGGAAGUGGGAGCGUAUCACCAUGGACUUCAUUAUUGGACUCCCAUGGACUCAGAGGAAGUUCGACGCAGUUUGGGUUAUUGCGGAUAGGCUGACUAAAUCGGUGUAUUUUAUUCCUGUGGCAGUCUCUUAUUUUUUAGAGCGGUUGGCAGAGAUUUACAUUUGUGAGAUCGUUCGCCUUCAUGGUGUGCUCGUGUCUAUCAUUUCUGACCGAGGUACGCAAUUUACCUCGCAUUUCUGGAGGGCAGUACAUCGUGAGUUGGGUAAGCGGGUUGAGUUGAGCUCAUCAUUUCAUCCCAAGACGGACGGGAAGUCCGAGCGUACUAUUUAGAUUUUGGAGGAUAUGCUCCGCUCCUGUGUUAUUGACUUUGAAGGUUCUUGGGAUUAGUUCUUUCUGUUAGCAGAGUUUGCAUACAACAACAACUAUCAGUCGAGCAUCCAGAUGGCUCCCUAUGAGUUGUUGUAUAGUAGACUGUGUCGAUCACCGAUUGUAUGGUUUGAGCCGGGAGAGGCUCGAUUAUUAGGUACAGAUUUAGUGCAGGAUGCCUUGGAUAAAGUUAAGAUCAUUCAAGAGAGAUUUUGUAUAGCUCAGUCCAGGAAAAAGAGUUAUGCCGACCAUAAGGUUCGUGAUGUGGCAUUCAUGGUCGGGGAGAUAGUGUUGCUUUGGGUGUCACCCAUGAAGGGUGUGAUGCAGUUUGGGAAGAAGGCAAGUUAAGCCCUAGGUUCAUCGGGCCUUUUGAGAUUCUUGAUCGAGUGGGAGAGGUGGCUUAUAGACUUACGUUGCCACUAGGCUUAUCAGCGGUACGUCCAGUGUUUCAUGUGUCCAUACUUCGGAAGUAUCACGACGAUCCAUCCCACUUGUUAGACUUCAGCACUGUCCAGUUGGAAAAGAAUUUGACCUAUGAGAAGGAGUCGGUAGCUAUUCUAGACCGGCAGGUUCGUCAAUUGAGAUCGAAGAGCUAUCCUUCAGUUCAUGUGCAGUGGAGAGGUCAGCCUGUUGAGGCAGCUACUUGGGAGUCCGAGUCCGAUAUGCGGAGAAGAUAUCCCCAUCUUUUCUCUAGCUCAGGUACUUUUCUAUGUCCAUUCGAGGACGAACGGUUGUUUUAGAGGUGGAGAAUGUGAUGACCCAAAAGGUCAUCUCGUGUUUUAAAACCCAAGUCGGAAUUUUGAUCCCUGAAAAAUCCCAUUUUCUUUUGCCUUGAUUUACGUGCGCAGUCCUGGCGCAUUUUCGGAAAAACCUUUAUGCGAAAGUUUGAGAAAAUACUAAGUUUUGCCUUUAAAAUUGAUUUAAGUUAACUUCGGUCAACAUUUUGAUUAAACGGACCCGGACCCGAACCCGUGUCUUGAUGGUCCCGGAGGGUCCUUAGUAAAAUAUGAGACUUAGGUGUAUGCCCGAAAUUGAAUUCCGAGGUCCCUAGCCCGAGAAAUAAAUUUUUGAAGAAAAUUGUUAAACUGAAAAUAUAAUGAUUUUUAGAAAUUGAAUAAUGUUUGGUCUUGUUGGUAUUGGGACCAUAUUUUGGUUUCGGAGCCCGGUACAAGUUUAUUAUGGUAUUUAAGUCAUGCAUGUGAAAUUUGGUGAGAAACGGAGUUUAUAUGACGUGAUUCGGACCCUCGGCUGUGAAAAUAGAAACUUUAAGUGUUCUUGAGAAUUUCAUCGAUUUUGAUGCAAAAUCCGUAGUUUUGGGUGUUAUUUUAGUGAUUUGAUCACCCGAACAAGUUCAUAUGAUGUGUUAAGAUGUGUAUGCAUGUUUGGUUUCGAGCCCCGAGGGCUCGGGUGAGGAAGAGCAAGUUCAUAUAAUGUGUUAAAACUUUUAUUUCUUUUUACAAGAUUUCAUCUUAGAAUCUAGGGUUUUCAUGGUGAAAUGGGGAAUUUUUGGGUAGAACUUAGGAAUUUCGAAAUUUAGGAAUUUAGACCUCAAACUGAGGUCAGAUUCCAAAACCAAUUGUAUAUCCGGGCUCGGGGUGAAUGGGUAGUCGGGUUUUGGUCCGAAUUUCGGGUUUGGACCAAGCGGGCGCGGGUGUUGACUUUUUUAAAAAUUACCUAAAUUGAAUUCCUUGCUAUCGUGGGUAGUUCCUAAUGCUUAAAUUGAAUUGUUUGGUUGGUAAUUUGCUAGAUUCUAUUGGUUCGGAGGCUUAUAUUAAAGGAAACGUUAUGAUUGAGCUUUGAGAUCGGUCGUGAAAUCGAGGUAAGUUUUGUGGUUAACCUUAGAUUGAGGGAGUAGGUAUUGUUGCCUUAUUUGCUACAUGUUUAAUUGUUUAGUACGACCUAUUAGUGAGGUGACGAGUAUCUAUACGUCGUUGUCGGGUCAUAGCAUGUGAGUGAGUCUUGUAUUUAUGAUUGAUGUGUUUCUUUAUACGUAGUUUUCAUGCUUAAACGGAUUAUUCUUCAUGUUAAACAAGUCUUAUUAUGUUUUCCUGGUAUUGAAUAUUUGUUGAGUAUUGACUCAAGUUGAGAUUUAUAUUGUGAAGUUAAAUGGUGAAAUGAGGCUAUUUAAUGAUGAUUCCCUUGUUGAGUUGCUAUUGUUUCUGCUGUUUGGGUGAGGAAGAGUGUAACGCACAAAGGGUGAUGCCGUGCAAUAUUUUGUGAGUGAGUGAUAAAGCACGAAGGGUGAUGCCGUUCUAUAUUCUGUGAGUGUUAAUGCACGAAGGGUGAUGUCGUGCCAUAUUCUGAUAUUGAUAAUGCACGAAGGGUGAUGUCGUGCUAUGAUAUGAGAGAGUUAAUGCACGAAGGGUGAUGCCGUACCGUUUCUGUUGUUUUUUAUGGUAAGGACGAGAGCAAAAUCACGAAGAGUGAUGUUGUGCUCAUGUUGCUAUGUUAUUAUUUUCGUUGGUUCAAAGCAUGAUAUUUAUCGUGUUUCUGUAUUGUACUAUUUUCAGAAUUUGACAUUCCCCUCAACAUGUUUUCCCCCUUCCCGUUAUUAUCUGUUAGAUUUCUGUUAUUAUUGUUUUCUCGUAUAUAAUUUAACUACACAGGUUCAUGUUAUUUGUCGUGUUCUAGCCUUGUCACUACUUCGCCGAGGUUAGGCUCGGCACUUACCAGUACAUGGGAUCGGUUGUACUGAUACUACACUCUGCACUUUCUGUGCAGAUCUCGAUGCCAGACCUCGUGAUUAGAGUUGGGUUGCUGUCUUCAGUCCACCAGGAGACCCAAGGUAGAUCUGUUGGCAUUACAGACCCUGGAGUCCCCUUCCCUCUAUUUUAGUUUUCCUGUCUCCUUUCAUUUUGAGCACAAAUGUAUUUCUUUUAAACCAGUAUGUGUAGUAACUCUUAGAAGUUCGUGGAUUGUGACACCAGAUCUUUUAGGUAGUCGUGUAUUAAUGUUUUAAAUUGCUAUAAAAUUUC
This 6628-nucleotide long non-coding RNA is filed under the name Nicotiana tabacum (common tobacco). RNAcentral describes it as "long non-coding RNA (NTAB_LNC002710)". The record is from RNAcentral. Lineage: Eukaryota; Viridiplantae; Streptophyta; Magnoliopsida; Solanales; Solanaceae.